This 74-nucleotide transfer RNA is filed under the name Schistocerca americana (American grasshopper). Its description in RNAcentral is "tRNA-Ser". It matches the Rfam family "tRNA". From Rfam's summary of the family: Transfer RNA (tRNA) molecules are approximately 80 nucleotides in length. Their secondary structure includes four short double-helical elements and three loops (D, anti-codon, and T loops). Lineage: Eukaryota; Metazoa; Arthropoda; Insecta; Orthoptera; Acrididae. The record is from RNAcentral.
AGUCGGGUAGCUCAGUUGGUAGAGCACUUGCCCUCGAAAGGCAAAGGUCCCGAGUUCGAGUCUCGGUCCGGCAC